Molecule: ribosomal RNA, 516 nt
Filed under: uncultured cyanobacterium
Lineage: Bacteria; Bacillati; Cyanobacteriota
Description: bacterial SSU rRNA
Rfam family: Bacterial small subunit ribosomal RNA
Source: RNAcentral
AACCUGGCGGCGUGCUUACACUGCAGUCCGAACGAACUUCGGGUUAGUGGCGGACGGGUGAGUAACGCGUGAGAAUCUGCCCUCAGGAGGGGGACAACAGCUGGAAACGGCUGCUAAUACCCCAUAUGCCGAGAGGUGAAACGAAUUUCGCCUGAGGAUGAGCUCGCGUCUGAUUAGCUAGUUGGUGUGGUAAAGGCGCACCAAGGCAUCGAUCAGUAGCUGGUCUGAGAGGAUGAUCAGCCACACUGGGACUGAGACACGGCCCAGACUCCUACGGGAGGCAGCAGUGGGGAAUUUUCCGCAAUGGGCGAAAGCCUGACGGAGCAACGCCGCGUGAGGGAUGAAGGCCUCUGGGCUGUAAACCUCUUUUCUCAAGGAAGAAGAUCUGACGGUACUUGAGGAAUAAGCCACGGCUAAUUCCGUGCCAGCAGCCGCGGUAAUACGGGAGUGGCAAGCGUUAUCCGGAAUUAUUGGGCGUAAAGCGUCCGCAGGCGGCCCAUCAAGUCUGCUGUUAAA